RNAcentral lists this ribosomal RNA (497 nucleotides) under uncultured bacterium. RNAcentral's name for it is "partial 16S ribosomal RNA". It matches the Rfam family "Bacterial small subunit ribosomal RNA", at positions 28 to 507 of the family's 1533-position model. The record is from RNAcentral.
GAUGAACGCUGGCGGCGUGCCUAAUACAUGCCAGUCGAGCGAACAGACGAGGAGCUUGCUCCUCUGACGUUAGCGGCGGACGGGUGAGUAACACGUGGAUAACCUACCUAUAAGACUGGGAUAACUUCGGGAAACCGGAGCUAAUACCGGAUAAUAUAUUGAACCGCAUGGUUCAAUAGUGAAAGACGGUUUUGCUGUCACUUAUAGAUGGAUCCGCGCCGCAUUAGCUAGUUGGUAAGGUAACGGCUUACCAAGGCAACGAUGCGUAGCCGACCUGAGAGGGUGAUCGGCCACACUGGAACUGAGACACGGUCCAGACUCCUACGGGAGGCAGCAGUAGGGAAUCUUCCGCAAUGGGCGAAAGCUUGACGGAGCAACGCCGCGUGAGUGAAGAAGGUCUUCGGAUCGUAAAACUCUGUUAUUAGGGAAGAACAAAUGUGUAAGUAACUAUGCACGUCUUGACGGUACCUAAUCAGAAAGCCACGGCUAACUACGUG